ACAGGUACUUGUACCGGGUGGCGAGCGGCGGACGGGUGAGUAAUGCCUAGGAAUCUGCCUGGUAGUGGGGGAUAACGCUCGGAAACGGACGCUAAUACCGCAUACGUCCUACGGGAGAAAGCAGGGGACCUUCGGGCCUUGCGCUAUCAGAUGAGCCUAGGUCGGAUUAGCUAGUUGGUGGGGUAAUGGCUCACCAAGGCGACGAUCCGUAACUGGUCUGAGAGGAUGAUCAGUCACACUGGAACUGAGACACGGUCCAGACUCCUACGGGAGGCAGCAGUGGGGAAUAUUGGACAAUGGGCGAAAGCCUGAUCCAGCCAUGCCGCGUGUGUGAAGAAGGUCUUCAGAUUGUAAAGCACUUUAAGUUGGGAGGAAGGGCAGUUGCUUAAUACGUGACUGUUUUGACGUUACCGACAGAAUAAGCACCGGCUAACUCUGUGCCAGCAGCCGCGGUAAUACAGAGGGUGCAAGCGUUAAUCGGAAUUACUGGGCGUAAAGCGCGCGUAGGUGGUUUGUUAAGUUGAAUGUGAAAUCCCCGGGCUCAACCUGGGAACUGCAUGCAAAACUGGCGAGCUAGAGUAUGGUAGAGGGUGGUGGAA
This 599-nucleotide ribosomal RNA is filed under the name Pseudomonas sp. RNAcentral's name for it is "bacterial SSU rRNA". It matches the Rfam family "Bacterial small subunit ribosomal RNA", at positions 72 to 666 of the family's 1533-position model. Lineage: Bacteria; Pseudomonadati; Pseudomonadota; Gammaproteobacteria; Pseudomonadales; Pseudomonadaceae. The record is from RNAcentral.